UGGUACCUCUGCAUGUGCUAUUCCACACCAUCCUCUCUCUCACUAUAAAAUAUUCUAAUGGAAAACGAAGCAGAGAACAAUGCAAUUUUCACCCGACUCUGUAAGACCAGCAACCAGAUUGAGCAGCCAAACGCCGGGGAACUGGUCCAGACGUGAGGACUAGAGGUGCUGAGACGCCGCCCCCGCCACCAGGAAAUACACAUUCUGACACGCGGUCAGGACCAGGCCUGUGUUCUGCACGUGUGUGUGGGAAGGCGGCCAGCAGCCUGACCUUCCAGGCAGGACCUCCUGCCGCACAGAGCUCUUCACACACCU
Long non-coding RNA from Myotis brandtii (Brandt's bat), 315 nucleotides. RefSeq lists it as uncharacterized. Lineage: Eukaryota; Metazoa; Chordata; Mammalia; Chiroptera; Vespertilionidae. The record is from RefSeq and is a predicted model, not a curated record. The transcript has 3 exons.